RNA transcript from Agrilus planipennis (emerald ash borer), 434 nucleotides. RefSeq lists it as uncharacterized. The transcript is spliced from 4 exons. Lineage: Eukaryota; Metazoa; Arthropoda; Insecta; Coleoptera; Buprestidae. The record is from RefSeq and is a predicted model, not a curated record.
UUGUCGUACGAGGUUUUAUCAGAGUGGUGUCAGAUAGAGUUAAGUUAAUCGUUAUCAUCACCUUACAUCGCAAUCGUCUGUCGUUUCAUUAUCUAGAACAUUUGUGGUUUUGUCGAAAAAUGUACUGUAUUCGCAAUAGUUGUCAAUUAAUUUUGUGUCAAACCUGAGACAGAAGAGAGUGAAAGUGAAUUGAAUUCUUAAGUAUUCUCAUUGAGCUUCUUGGACUGCUGGUGGGGCGCGCAAAAUUUUCUUCGUAACUAACACGUCCCUCAACAAAGCGAACCAUUCUGAGAAAAGUCUGUUUCGAUAACUUAGAUAUCUAUCAAACCUGAUGAGUCGUGUUUCUAAAAAUGGAUUCCUUAUAUGUUAAACCUUCUCGAAAAAGUCAAUAAAAUCGUGUUCAUCAAGGUUUUUAAUGGAAAAUAAUUAUGGUA